CAGCAGGCGCGAAAACUUUACAAUGCCGGCAACGGCGAUAAGGGAACCUCGAGUGCCAGGUUACAAAUCUGGCUGUCGUGAUGCCUAAAAAGCAUUGCAUAGCAAGGGCCGGGCAAGACCGGUGCCAGCCGCCGCGGUAACACCGGCGGCUCGAGUGGUAACCGUUAUUAUUGGGUCUAAAGGGUCUGUAGCCGGCCGGGUAAGUCUCUUGGGAAAUCUGGCAGCUUAACUGUCAGGCUUUCAGGAGAUACUGCCUGGCUCGAGGCCGGGAGAGGUGAGAGGUACUUCAGGGGUAGGGGUGAAAUCUUGUAAUCCUUGAAGGACCACCAGUGGCGAAGGCGUCUCACCAGAACGGACCUGACGGCAAGGGACGAAAGCUAGGGGCACGAACCGGAUUAGAUACCCGGGUAGUCCUAGCCGUAAACGAUACUCGCUAGGUGUCGGCCACGGUGCGACCGUGGUCGGUGCCGUAGGGAAGCCGUGAAGCGAGCCACCUGGGAAGUACGGCCGCAAGGCUGAAACUUAAAGGAAUUGGCGGGGGAGCACAAGGGCGAAUCGCG
This 560-nucleotide ribosomal RNA is filed under the name uncultured archaeon. RNAcentral describes it as "bacterial SSU rRNA". It matches the Rfam family "Archaeal small subunit ribosomal RNA", at positions 333 to 897 of the family's 1478-position model. The record is from RNAcentral.